Molecule: long non-coding RNA, 274 nt
Organism: Hyposmocoma kahamanoa
Lineage: Eukaryota; Metazoa; Arthropoda; Insecta; Lepidoptera; Cosmopterigidae
Exons: 3
Source: RefSeq, a predicted model, not a curated record
CUGGCCCUUGAAGACACGUCGCAAUCACGUACCUUUUUUGCACAUCUGACCAAUAGUGCAAUUUAUACUGGAUAACAAACAAUUGUACAUGAAAUGUUUACAAUCAAAGUUAAAUAUUUCUAACAUAGGUACACGUACAAUCAACAGCAUUAUCCACAAGUUACUAUUAGAAUUAAAAUUAAAAUUAAAAUUGUCGUGUGUGAUGGGUAGUGCCAAAUAAACUAAAAUAAAUAAAAGGUCGCCGUUUUAAACAACGAGUAGAAGCGCACUCGCC